CAGUUCGGAUUGUAGGCUGCAACUCGCCUACAUGAAGUCGGAGUUGCUAGUAAUCGCGGAUCAGAAUGCCGCGGUGAAUGCGUUCCCGGGUCUUGUACACACCGCCCGUCACACCAUGGAAGUUGGGGGCGCCCGAAGCCGGUGACCCAACCCGGAAAGGGAGGGAGCCGUCGAAGGCAGGUCGGAUGACUGGGGUGAAGUCGUAACAAGGUAGC
RNAcentral lists this ribosomal RNA (215 nucleotides) under uncultured bacterium. RNAcentral describes it as "partial 16S ribosomal RNA". It matches the Rfam family "Bacterial small subunit ribosomal RNA", at positions 1289 to 1500 of the family's 1533-position model. The record is from RNAcentral.